This 714-nucleotide ribosomal RNA is filed under the name uncultured fungus. RNAcentral's name for it is "SSU rRNA". It matches the Rfam family "Eukaryotic small subunit ribosomal RNA", at positions 382 to 1097 of the family's 1831-position model. Lineage: Eukaryota; Fungi. The record is from RNAcentral.
ACCGGAGAGGGAGCCUGAGAAACGGCUACCACAUCCAAGGAUGGCAGCAGGCGCGCAAAUUACCCAAUCCCGACACGGGGAGGUAGUGACAAUAAAUAACAAUACGGGGUUCUUUAGGAUCUCGUAAUUGGAAUGAGUACAAUUUAAAUCUCUUAACGAGGAACAAUUGGAGGGCAAGUCUGGUGCCAGCAGCCGCGGUAAUUCCAGCUCCAAUAGCGUAUAUUAAAGUUGUUGCAGUUAAAAAGCUCGUAGUUGAAUUUCGGGGUUAGUAGGUUGGUCAUGCCUCUGGUAUGUACUGGUCUCACUGAUUCCUCCUUCCUUAUGAACCGUAAUGCCAUUAAUUUGGUGUUGCGGGGAAUUUGGACUGUUACUUUGAAAAAAUUAGAGUGUUUAAAGCAAGCUAACGCUUGAAUACAUUAGCAUGGAAUAAUGAAAUAGGACGUUCGAUCUUAUUUUGUUGGUUUCUAGGAUUGACGUAAUGAUUAAUAGGGAUAGUUGGGGGCAUUAGUAUUCAAUUGUCAGAGGUGAAAUUCUUGGAUUUAUUGAAGACUAACUACUGCGAAAGCAUUUGCCAAGGAUGUUUUCAUUAAUCAAGAACGAAAGUUAGGGGAUCGANNNCGAUCAGAUACCGUCGUAGUCUUAACCAUAAACUAUGCCGACUAGGGAUCGGAUGAUGUUAAUUUUUUAAUGACUCAUUCGGCGCCUUACGGGAAA